This 253-nucleotide ribosomal RNA is filed under the name uncultured bacterium. RNAcentral's name for it is "partial 16S ribosomal RNA". It matches the Rfam family "Bacterial small subunit ribosomal RNA", at positions 524 to 776 of the family's 1533-position model. The record is from RNAcentral.
UACGUAGGUGGCAAGCGUUGUCCGGAUUUACUGGGCGUAAAGAGCGCGCAGGCGGUCGUUCAAGUCGAAUGUGAAAGCCCCCGGCUCAACUGGGGAGGGUCAUUCGAUACUGUUCGACUCGAAGGCAGGAGAGGGAAGUGGAAUUCCCGGUGUAGUGGUGAAAUGCGUAGAUAUCGGGAGGAACACCAGUGGCGAAGGCGACUUCCUGGCCUGUUCUUGACGCUGAGGCGCGAAAGCUAGGGGAGCAAACGGG